UUUAGGCCGAGGGCACGCCUGCCUGGGCGUCACGC
RNAcentral lists this ribosomal RNA (35 nucleotides) under Crataegus mollis. RNAcentral describes it as "partial 5.8S rRNA". The record is from RNAcentral. Lineage: Eukaryota; Viridiplantae; Streptophyta; Magnoliopsida; Rosales; Rosaceae.